AUUGAACGCAGGCGGCAUGCCUUACACAUGCAAGUCGAACGGCAGCACGGGAGCAAUCCUGGUGGCGAGUGGCGAACGGGUGAGUAAAGUAUCGGAACGUGCCCAGUCGUGGGGGAUAACGUAGCGAAGGUUACGCUAAUACCGCAUACGAUCUAUGGAUGAAAGCGGGGGAUCGCAAGACCUCGCGCGAUUGGAGCGGCCGAUAUCAGAUUAGGUAGUUGGUGGGGUAAAGGCUCACCAAGCCGACGAUCUGUAGCUGGUCUGAGAGGACGACCAGCCACACUGGGACCGAGACACGGCCCAGACUCCUACGGGAGGCAGCAGUGGGGAAUUUUGGACAAUGGGCGAAAGCCUGAUCCAGCCAUGCCGCGUGCAGGAUGAAGGCCUUCGGGUUGUAAACUGCUUUUGUACGGAACGAAAAGGUUUGGCCUAAUAAGCUGAGCUCAUGACGGUACCGUAAGAAUAAGCACCGGCUAACUACGUGCCAGCCGCCGCGGUAA
This 500-nucleotide ribosomal RNA is filed under the name uncultured bacterium. RNAcentral's name for it is "partial 16S ribosomal RNA". It matches the Rfam family "Bacterial small subunit ribosomal RNA", at positions 30 to 523 of the family's 1533-position model. The record is from RNAcentral.